RNAcentral lists this ribosomal RNA (595 nucleotides) under Diplodus kotschyi. RNAcentral describes it as "partial 12S ribosomal RNA". It matches the Rfam family "Bacterial small subunit ribosomal RNA", at positions 623 to 1436 of the family's 1533-position model. Lineage: Eukaryota; Metazoa; Chordata; Actinopteri; Spariformes; Sparidae. The record is from RNAcentral.
GGGUGGUUAAGAAUAAGCCUAAAAUUAAAGCCGAACAUCUUCCGGGCUGUUAUACGCAUCCGAAGAUAAGAAGCCCAACUACGAAAGUAGCUUUAUGUCUUCUGAACCCACGAAAGCUAAGAUACAAACUGGGAUUAGAUACCCCACUAUGCCUAGCCAUAAACAUUGACAGUUUAUUACAUUUUCUGUCCGCCUGGGAACUACGAGCACUAGCUUAAAACCCAAAGGACUUGGCGGUGCUUUAGACCCACCUAGAGGAGCCUGUUCUAGAACCGAUAAUCCCCGUUCAACCUCACCCUUCCUUGCCUAUCCCGCCUAUAUACCACCGUCGUCAGCUUACCCUGUGAAGGACAAAAAGUAAGCAAAACUGGCAUCACCCAGAACGUCAGGUCGAGGUGUAGCGAAUGGAGGGGGAAGAAAUGGGCUACAUUCCCUCGUCUACAGGGAACCACGAAUAAUGUACUGAAAACGUACACUUGAAGGAGGAUUUAGCAGUAAGAGGAAACUAGAGCGUUCCACUGAAGUCGGCUCUUAAGCGCGCACACACCGCCCGUCACUCUCCCCGAGACUUUUAAUUUACAUUAACUAAGAUGCC